Molecule: unclassified non-coding RNA, 2948 nt
Filed under: Chelonus insularis
Lineage: Eukaryota; Metazoa; Arthropoda; Insecta; Hymenoptera; Braconidae
Description: uPF0518 protein GF15501, transcript variant X2
Source: RNAcentral
AUUUCUUGGGAUUGAUUUCUUUGGGGAAAAUAUCUAGCUGUCACAUCAAAUUCCUGAAGUCUAAUAUGACGUAUUUACAGUAGAUUAUAAUGUGAAAAUUUUUUAAUUAUCAGAAUAAUAGAGUGUAAGGCAUUAAGUGAAAUUUAAGAGCAUAUAAAUACUCUCUAGAAAAUGUAGUAUAAAUAAUUUACUUCAAAGUGUGUGUUGUGUAGCCAUAUUAGCUGAAAAUGUAUUAAAAUCCGUGAUGUUUCAAUACUAUCUCUUUCUUAUAGGUUAUACAUAACUUAGAAAAGAUGUGAAUAGGAUGAAAAUUCAUGAAAAUACUUAUCAUAAUAUAAUAAAUUAUUUUUUAAAAAUACUGCAAUGAGUUGGUUAAAAAAUAAUGCAUUUAUAAAUAAUGCAAAUAGACAAUGUCCUCAAAAUAUUCCUACGAAUAUUACUGAUCGUAGUGCAUGUUAUGAUAGUUUUUGUAAACAUUGGCAGCAAGCACAUGACAUUAUAAAACAGUCAUUUUUGACAACAAAUGAAUCAAUCCACGAUUAUUUAGUGGCGUUUAAUAAUCAUAUAGAUCAAAUGGUGACAUUAUUAAUAAUUGAAUUUCGCAAUAAUACUACUCUUAAAAAUUGUCACUUAACUGUUCAAUCAAAUUUAUUAUGUCUAGAAUAUUUGUUAAGUGAAAAUUUACUUGAUAUUGUGUAUGAUUGGAGUGCAGUAACUAGAAGCAAUACUGUAGAUUUAAAAGUUAUAAAAUUAUUUGAAUUAUUAAUAUCGUAUAAUGCAUCAAUUAUUGGUCACGAGCCGAUAUUAAGGCCUCUGUUGAAGUUACUUAAAUCUUAUGAGAAUGAUGUCCUAUCACCGGAUUUAGAAACAGAAUUGAUAAAUUUGCUUCACAGUAUUUGUGUCGCAUUAACACUAAAUUCAACGCUUGUGGAUGUCUUUUUUUGUUCAUCGACAGAUGACUCGAAACGCAAAUUCUUAAUACUUUCAUUAUUAUUACCUUUCAUACAUCGAGAAGGAACAAUCGGUCAAAAAGCUCGAGAUGCUAUGUUAUUAUUCAUAUCACUGUCACAGAAAAAUCCUGACAUGGCUGAUUAUUUAUCAGAAAAUUCUAAUGUCUGUCCGAUUUUAGCUACUGGAAUAAGUGGUUUAUAUUCAUUAUUACCGCGAAAACUUGAUAUUCCAAAUGAAGAUUGGUGCAGACUAACGCCUGAAAAUGUUUGCAACAUCUCAUCAUUAAAUCAUCUAAUUCGUUGUUUAGAAUUUUGUAAUGCUGUUGCAAGACUUUCACACAUAUCUGUACAGAAAAAAUUAUCAGAAUACUUAUAUCAAGGUUUUUUAGUUUCUGUGUUAGGUCCAGCAUUAUUACAGACGUCUUUAGAUGAAGCAAUCACCGCUACAAUUUAUUUAGAAUUAUUCUUGCACAAAGUCACAAAUCCUGGGCUUUUAUACACAAUAAUCAAAUUUUUACUAGAAUCAAAUUAUGAUGGGUAUAGAAUAUUAGAUGUAUUAAUCCAAAGAAUCGCUACUAAUUCAAAAUUAUGCAUCGUAACUCUAGCACUUUUUGAAACUUUAGUAGAUCUGAAUAAUGAAGACAUAAUGCUAGAGUUAUGUUUCUCAUCUUUAUCUCCUUGCUCUCAUGUUAUGCUUUCACAACGUAGUAAGCUACAAGAUUUGGAUUUUUCUGGAAAUACCGCGAAGAAGAUAUUAUCACUGCGGCCAACUUGCUGUUUAUCUUGGACAAAUUGUGUAGAGAAUAAAUACGAAUCUACCAAUUCUAAUAUUUCAUAUGAAAACUCAGAAUCGUUGAUGUCUCCAACGUUAUCAUUAUGUAGCCAACUCGAUGACAGUCUUAUUGGCAAUUAUUUUGCUUAUCUUUACAAUGCAAGAACACAAAUUAUUUUAUGCAGAUUAUCAUGUUCUAAUUGGUCAUCAAAGUAUGAUGGUAGUGAUAACAAUGAGAAAAAUCAUUUUUAUAAUGAAGAGAAAAAAUCCGAAGCUUAUUUUGAAAAAAGAGAAUCAUAUUCAUCAACUGAUGAUAUCAUAGAAAAUGUUAAAUCAUUAAUUGAUCAUAAUCAACCAUCAUAUAUUGAUUAUAAUAAUCAAGAAAACUCACUCAACGCCUUGGAAGAGAUACUUGAGAAUAAAAAUAAAAAUAAUGAAAGCUUCGCACUUGCAUUGUCAGAUACACUUACAGAUAGGCUUUAUAUUAAUGAUAAUAAUGAACCCGACAAUAUCAAUGCUAAAGAAUUCAUUCAAUGUAAUAGUAAUUGUGACAAAUUACCUGUUCAAAACUCAAUGGAGUUAGACGUAACUGAUGCUCAAUUUAAACAGCCAAUUUUAUCUUCUAAUAAUAAUAAUAAUAUUAACAAUAAUAAUAAUAUUAUUCAGAAUCAUAAGAAUAAUAAAAAUAGUAAUGAAAAAAGUACAAAUAAAAAUAGUUCGCUAAUGAUUUAUAAUACAUCUAUGAAUGAUGAAGAUACAAUCAGCAAGCCAAGUGUUGGAAAAUUUUUAGAUGUUAUUUUAAAGAAGUUGGAAUUCAUGACUAGUAAUAAUUUGUAUGUUAACUUGCGCCUAACUGGGCUUAUUAGCCGACUUGCCAUUUAUCAACAGCCAUUAUUACAAUCUUUUUUACUUAAUCCGUCAUUAGUCUUCCAGCCAAGUAUUCGUUCGUUAUUUCAAAUCGGCCAAAACGUAAAAGCCUGACAUCUCACUUCACGCAAAUAUUCAAAUUUGGUGUCAAUGGUGUGCCACAAUACCAAAAACCGAAUUCAACGACGUACUUGAACGAGAAUAAUAACUCCCAUGGCUGUCCCGAAUCAAUGAUGUCAAUAAUUUCAACAACUCAACACGUUGUAUUGUGCGCUGUCAUACUAGAUGAAUGGCUUAAAGAAUUAUCAGCAAUAACACAAGAGCAUUGUAUUUUAUCAUUAGACAUGUAAAAAAAGUGU